UGCACGCAUUACUGUAAAUCACUUUGGAUAAAAGUGUCUGCUAAAUAUUAGUCA
Molecule: non-coding RNA, 54 nt
Organism: Salmo salar (Atlantic salmon)
Lineage: Eukaryota; Metazoa; Chordata; Actinopteri; Salmoniformes; Salmonidae
Source: Rfam